RNAcentral lists this long non-coding RNA (211 nucleotides) under Ananas comosus (pineapple). RNAcentral's name for it is "long non-coding RNA (ACOM_LNC030109)". Lineage: Eukaryota; Viridiplantae; Streptophyta; Magnoliopsida; Poales; Bromeliaceae. The record is from RNAcentral.
AGAGUUAGAUUUUAUUAGUGAGUGGUUAAGAACAACCAUUAUUUUGUCAAAUUACUAUUUUGCCCUUUCAAAUAUACUAUUAUAUCGUCACUAUUUUUUUUUAUUUAUUCUUUAAGUUAAGAGCAAAAAAGAUAUUUUAACUGUUGGUCCUUUUCGGAUAGGGGCAAAAAAGAUAUUUUGAUUUUUUUUUAACUUUGGUAGGAAUUUAACU